Molecule: ribosomal RNA, 427 nt
Filed under: uncultured bacterium
Lineage: Bacteria
Description: partial 16S ribosomal RNA
Rfam family: Bacterial small subunit ribosomal RNA
Source: RNAcentral
UGGGGAAUAUUGCACAAUGGGCGCAAGCCUGAUGCAGCCAUGCCGCGUGUAUGAAGAAGGCCUUCGGGUUGUAAAGUACUUUCAGCGGGGAGGAAGGUGUUGUGGUUAAUAACCACAGCAAUUGACGUUACCCGCAGAAGAAGCACCGGCUAACUCCGUGCCAGCAGCCGCGGUAAUACGGAGGGUGCAAGCGUUAAUCGGAAUUACUGGGCGUAAAGCGCACGCAGGCGGUUUGUCAAGUCGGAUGUGAAAUCCCCGGGCUCAACCUGGGAACUGCAUUCGAAACUGGCAGGCUAGAGUCUUGUAGAGGGGGGUAGAAUUCCAGGUGUAGCGGUGAAAUGCGUAGAGAUCUGGAGGAAUACCGGUGGCGAAGGCGGCCCCCUGGACAAAGACUGACGCUCAGGUGCGAAAGCGUGGGGAGCAAACA